UACGGAGGGGACUAGCGUUGUUCGGAAUUACUGGGCGUAAAGCGCGCGUAGGCGGAUUUGCAAGUCGGGGGUGAAAGCCCGAGGCUCAACCUCGGAACUGCCCUCGAUACUGCAAAUCUCGAGUCCGAGAGAGGUGAGUGGAAUUCCUAGUGUAGAGGUGAAAUUCGUAGAUAUUAGGAAGAACACCAGUGGCGAAGGCGGCUCACUGGCUCGGUACUGACGCUGAGGCGCGAAAGCGUGGGGAGCGAACAGG
This 253-nucleotide ribosomal RNA is filed under the name uncultured bacterium. Its description in RNAcentral is "partial 16S ribosomal RNA". It matches the Rfam family "Bacterial small subunit ribosomal RNA", at positions 524 to 776 of the family's 1533-position model. The record is from RNAcentral.